GACGAACGCUGGCGGCGUGCUUAACACAUGCAAGUCGAACGGAAAGGCCCUGCUUUUGUGGGGUGCUCGAGUGGCGAACGGGUGAGUAACACGUGAGUAACCUGCCCUUGACUUUGGGAUAACUUCAGGAAACUGGGGCUAAUACCGGAUAGGAGCUCCUGCUGCAAGGUGGGGGUUGGAAAGUUUCGGCGGUUGGGGGUGGACUCGCGGCUUAUCAGCUUGUUGGUGGGGUAGUGGCUUACCAAGGCUUUGACGGGUAGCCGGCCUGAGAGGGUGACCGGCCACAUUGGGACUGAGAUACGGCCCAGACUCCUACGGGAGGCAGCAGUGGGGAAUAUUGCACAAUGGGCGGAAGCCUGAUGCAGCAACGCCGCGUGCGGGAUGACGGCCUUCGGGUUGUAAACCGCUUUCGCCUGUGACGAAGCGUGAGUGACGGUAAUGGGUAAAGAAGCACCGGCUAACUACGUG
Molecule: ribosomal RNA, 468 nt
Filed under: uncultured bacterium
Lineage: Bacteria
Description: partial 16S ribosomal RNA
Rfam family: Bacterial small subunit ribosomal RNA
Source: RNAcentral